GGCACUACGGUGCUGAAGCAACAAAUGCCCUGCUUCCAGGAAAAGCCUCUAAGCAUCAGGUAACAUCAAAUCGUACCCCAAACCGACACAGGUGGUCAGGUAGAGAAUACCAAGGCGCUUGAGAGAACUCGGGUGAAGGAACUAGGCAAAAUGGUGCCGUAACUUCGGGAGAAGGCACGCUGAUAUGUAGGUGAAGUCCCUCGCGGAUGGAGCUGAAAUCAGUCGAAGAUACCAGCUGGCUGCAACUGUUUAUUAAAAACACAGCACUGUGCAAACACGAAAGUGGACGUAUACGGUGUGACGCCUGCCCGGUGCCGGAAGGUUAAUUGAUGGGGUUAGCGCAAGCGAAGCUCUUGAUCGAAGCCCCGGUAAACGGCGGCCGUAACUAUAACGGUCCUAAGGUAGCGAAAUUCCUUGUCGGGUAAGUUCCGACCUGCACGAAUGGCGUAAUGAUGGCCAGGCUGUCUCCACCCGAGACUCAGUGAAAUUGAACUCGCUGUGAAGAUGCAGUGUACCCGCGGCAAGACGGAAAGACCCCGUGAACCUUUACUAUAGCUUGACACUGAACAUUGAGCCUUGAUGUGUAGGAUAGGUGGGAGGCUUUGAAGUGUGGACGCCAGUCUGCAUGGAGCCGACCUUGAAAUACCACCCUUUAAUGUUUGAUGUUCUAACGUUGACCCGUGAUCCGGGUUGCGGACAGUGUCUGGUGGGUAGUUUGACUGGGGCGGUCUCCUCCUAAAGAGUAACGGAGGAGCACGAAGGUUGGCUAAUCCUGGUCGGACAUCAGGAGGUUAGUGCAAUGGCAUAAGCCAGCUUGACUGCGAGCGUGACGGCGCGAGCAGGUGCGAAAGCAGGUCAUAGUGAUCCGGUGGUUCUGAAUGGAAGGGCCAUCGCUCAACGGAUAAAAGGUACUCCGGGGAUAACAGGCUGAUACCGCCCAAGAGUUCAUAUCGACGGCGGUGUUUGGCACCUCGAUGUCGGCUCAUCACAUCCUGGGGCUGAAGUAGGUCCCAAGGGUAUGGCUGUUCGCCAUUUAAAGUGGUACGCGAGCUGGGUUUAGAACGUCGUGAGACAGUUCGGUCCCUAUCUGCCGUGGGCGCUGGAGAACUGAGGGGGGCUGCUCCUAGUACGAGAGGACCGGAGUGGACGCAUCACUGGUGUUCGGGUUGUCAUGCCAAUGGCACUGCCCGGUAGCUAAAUGCGGAAGAGAUAAGUGCUGAAAGCAUCUAAGCACGAAACUUGCCCCGAGAUGAGUUCUCCCUGACUCCUUGAGAGUCCUGAAGGAACGUUGAAGACGACGACGUUGAUAGGCCGGGUGUGUAAGCGCAGCGAUGCGUUGAGCUAACCGGUACUAAUGAACCGUGAGGCUUAACCUU
RNAcentral lists this ribosomal RNA (1376 nucleotides) under Escherichia coli. RNAcentral's name for it is "partial 23S ribosomal RNA". It matches the Rfam family "Bacterial large subunit ribosomal RNA", at positions 1573 to 2925 of the family's 2925-position model. Lineage: Bacteria; Pseudomonadati; Pseudomonadota; Gammaproteobacteria; Enterobacterales; Enterobacteriaceae. The record is from RNAcentral.